AGAGUGAACGCUGGCGGUAGGCCUAACACAUGCAAGUCGAACGGCAGCACAGUAGGAGCUUGCUCUUACGGGUGGCGAGUGGCGGACGGGUGAGGAAUACAUCGGAAUCUACCUUUUGGUGGGGGAUAACGUAGGGAAACUUACGCUAAUACCGCAUACGCCCUUCAGGGGAAAGCCGGGGACCAGCAAUGGCCUGGUGCUGAUAGAUGAGCCGAUGUCGGAUUAGCUAGUUGGUGAGGUAAUGGCUCACCAAGGCGACGAUCCGUAGCGUGUCUGAGAGA
This 281-nucleotide ribosomal RNA is filed under the name uncultured soil bacterium. RNAcentral describes it as "partial 16S ribosomal RNA". It matches the Rfam family "Bacterial small subunit ribosomal RNA", at positions 26 to 299 of the family's 1533-position model. The record is from RNAcentral.